UUUAAGUGGAACUAUGAGUUUUUUUUGUCUAACGUUUGUUUGUCCAUCUCAUUCAAAAAUAUUUUUAUGAUUAGUAUUUUUAUUGUUAUUAGAUAUGAUAAAACAUAAAUAGUGGAGUACUUUAUGUGUGGUUUUUUAAAAUUCUUUUAUAAAUUUUUAAAUAAAACGGAUGAUUAAAUGUAAGACACGGAAAUCCACAACUAUACUUGAA
Molecule: microRNA precursor, 211 nt
Filed under: Oryza glumipatula
Lineage: Eukaryota; Viridiplantae; Streptophyta; Magnoliopsida; Poales; Poaceae
Description: MIR812 microRNA precursor family
Rfam family: MIR812 microRNA precursor family
Source: Rfam by way of RNAcentral